CCAUCUCAACAUCAGUUCCUAAAUAUGGGGUCCAGCUGAAAAUUUAUGUCUUAUCUUUCACUCCUUGAGUGGGUGAGGCAUGUAGAAUUGGAUGCUGGUGGCAUGGCUACCAGGCCCCUGUUAACCUUCUUCUUCUGAAAAUUGCCUUUCUCCAGACACACAAAGGAUUGGACCCCAGGCAGCCAAGUUUCUAUGACUUGACUUUAUCCACAUUAAUUGGACCAGAGGGGUCAGUCACAUGACUUAUUGAGAGUCAAUCAUUUUCUUUAACUGUGGAAUGUACCACUGAAAGGCUGCUAUUUAGGGUUGUCUGGUGCCUUGAACCAAGGAGAUAUUACCUAGGAAGAUGUAAGUAGCCAUUUCAGCCAAGGGCCUGAAGUUGAGGAAUUACAUGAAAAGAGAGGAAAGGAAAAAAAAGAUAUGGAGAGAGAAAAGCCACAAAAAAAGAGGUGAAAGUAUUGCCUGGUGAAUUCAUUAUCUCUUACUGUACAACAAAUCACCCCAAAGGACCAACAUAUAUUAGCUCAUAUAGUUUCUAGGUUCAGGAAUCUGAGACUGGCUUAGCUGGGAAUGUGUAACUCAGGAUCUCUCAGGAGUGUACAGUCAACAGGUCAGUUGGGGCUGGAGAAUGAACUUCCAAACUCAUUCAUGUGGCUGUUAGUGGGAGGGUUCUGCUCCUUGGCGUAUGACCCUCUCCACUGGGUUGCUUAUUGGACAUAGCAGCUGACUCCCUCAGCAGCUGAAAGAGAGAGAGAUUGAUUUCCAAGUUGGAAAGUGGACCUUAAUUGUCCUCCUCUGCAGGGUAUGCUGGAUUUGGUGACUCUACCAAAGAAAAAAAUAUGGAAAGGAAAAAGAGUAACUAAUACUGUGGAGAAAUAUGGUAGACAUCAUCUUAACCAAGCAGUCAGGGUUAAUUUAACAUCACUAACAGUAAGUCAUGUUGAUAUUACACACUCCUGAUUUGAUGUGAUGAGAAGUUUAUCUUACCUUGUGGUAUUCUUCCCCCCAAUCCGUAAUUCCAGACUAGUUCUGAGAAAAUGGCAGAUAAAUCCAACUUGAGGGACAUUCUACAAAAUAUCUGACCAGCACUCUCCAGAAGCUUUAAAGACUUAAAAAAAAAGACAGAAACUCUUAUAGAUUUUAGGAGAUAAAGCAUAUUUGGUGAAUAAAUGCAAUGUGUUUUCCUAGAUUAAAUCCUGGAACAGAACAAAGACAUGAGUAGGAAAAUUGGGAAAAUCUGAAUGAAGUCUAUGGUUUAAUCAAUGGUAUUGUAACAACAUUAGCUUUUUAGUUUUCAGAAGUGCAUAUGUUAACAUAAGGGGAAGCUAGGUGAAUGGGUUAGGAAAGUUGUUGCAACUUUCUAUAAGUGUACAAUUAUCCCCAAAUUUUAAAAAAUUCUAAAAACUGGAAAAAAAUUCCUUCAAAACUAACCAAACCAAAAUUUAAAAAAUAGAAUAAAUCUGUAAAAUAACAAACUCUGGAUGGGACCAGACCCCUUAGAAAGGAGAUCUAGAUUAGACUUUAUUUGAGUGGAUGGAGUAGUCCAAGAAGUUUCUUAGAGGAAAAAAGGGCUGAUUUCAUACCAAAGGGAGUGAAAAAUAUUGCCUUAGCAUCAUGAAAUACUCAGGUAACUUCUAAUAGAAUUGUAUAAACUGAGCAAAAUGGGGUGGAUGUGGCAGUGGUGAAGGAGAGAGUAGCGUGAACAAUGCUAGAAAAAUGGUCCUGGGCUUUUCAGUUAACACUGACACAAGCCUUGAUUUUCUGUAGGAGAUUAUAACACUCAGCUUGGGCUGCCAUAACAAAAUACCAUACAUGGAUGGCUUAAACAAGAGAAAGUUGUUUCUUAUAGUUCUGGAGGAGGCUGGGAAGUCUAAGAUCAGGGUGCCAGCAUGGUUGGGUUCUGAUGAGGACUCUCUUCCUGGCUUGCAGAUGGCCACCUUCUUGCUAACUUAUCAGACAAUGUUAUAUCCUCCAGCCCUGGGGUAGAUCUACCCCAUGAUAUGCUGAGGUUAUAAAAAUAGAUGUCCCUAAAUCUCAGUGGCUUUAGUACAGCUUUAUUUCUCACUUAGGCUCCAUUUCCACCAUGGGUUGGGGUUGAGGAGAGGCUAUGUUCUGUCAUCCUCACUCAGGGACCCAGGCCAUAAGGAGUCUCUACUGUCUGCUGAGAAAGGCAGGACCAGACACAGAUCUGCUGUAGAUAAGGGAAGAGAAUGUGACACACUGACCCUUAAAGGCUCCUGCUUGGAUGUAAUAUGACUUGCUUCCAUUCACAUUUCUUUGGCCAAAGCAAGACGCAUGGCCAGGUCUAACAUCAGGGGUGUGGGAAGUUCUAUCUUUCCACAUACCCAGAAGCAGGAAUAUUGAAUAUUGGGGAACAGUCCUGAUGAUUACCAGGGAAUCCAUGGCAGGGCUCCAUGAGGAGUGUCACUGCUCUUCGACCUUCUCAUCCCUUUCUGUACCCCUGCAUUCCCUUCCUUCUUAUCUUAAUGUCUUUUUCAUCCUCUUUCCUCUCAUUCUUUUUCCUCAUUCCCUUUCCUUCAGUGAAAUAAUUAUUUUCUAAUCACAAAAGUGGAUAUAUUUAAACAGUAAAAAAAAAUUCAGAUGACACUGCAAUAUUUAAAAACUUGCUUAUUUCUAUUUCUUUUCUUCUGCCAGAGAUAACCACUCUUUUUUGUGUGUAUGUGCUUUUUAGGGCCACACCUGCGGCAUAUGGAGGUUCCUAGGCUAGGGGUCAAAUCAAAGCUACAGCCAUAGCAACACAGGAUCUGAGCCAGGUCUGCAACCUACAACCACAGCUCAUGGCAACCCUAGAUCCUUAAGUCACUGAGCCAGGCCAGGGAUUGAACCUGCAACGUCAUGGUUCCUAGUCAGAUUCAUUUACGCUAUGCCACAGCAGGAACUCUGAGAUAACCACUCUUAAAAGGUAGGAUGGAGAACCUAAUUCCAGAUCACUUCUUACACAAUGCAAUUAUAAAUAUUACAGUACAUUUUAAGAUUACAAAAAGAGGAUCACACGAUGCAUAGCAUUUUGCAAAGUGCUUUUUUAAUUUAACAGUGUAUCUUGGACACCUCUCCUUUUUUAAAAAUCAGGAAAUGAAAACAAGAACUAUACAACAUUAAUAGCAACCAUUCAUUGAAUGAGGGGCACCUAGGCUGUGUCCCUCACUGUUUUAGGGGCAGGGUGCUCCCCAUGAAAUGACACUAUUUCUGUCCUUAAGAUUUUAUAUUUUAUUGAAGAGAGAUCUGUGUCUGGUCCUGCCUCUCUCACCAAGAGUUGUGAGACCUUAGCCAGAUAUUUUGGCAUUAUUGGGCCUGUGCCUGUGUGUGUGUGUUGUGUGUUUAAACAACAACAAAAAUUGAGGGGUCGACCAUAUGUUCUCACUAUACUAUCAGUCUAAUUCUAACUGUACUGGGACUUGCUUUGUUGUUUUUGCAAACAACAGACACUGACUCUCAUUAACUACAGCAAAAAGAAGGAAUUAAUUGGAAAAAUCUUGUGAGGCUUAGAGACUAGAAGGAAGUGUUGAACAUUUGUGUCUGGGGAAGGGCAGAAACCAGGAGCCCUUAGGGGAUCUUCUGCAGAAGGAAGUUAUAAGUUGAUUUUGCAGGGUGCUGCUGUUGGAUGACUCAGCUCCAAUGGUCUUCCCUCUGGGGAUUUCUGUAGGAGAUUCAGCUUUCAGGGCGAGAGAAGCGUUUUGGCCUAGCUUGGGUCAUCAGUUCACUCUCUGACCAGAGGGAGUGGAUCCUAUUGAUUGACAGCUGUACCAAUACCACCUGUGAUGGAGGUGGGCAGUUCCCGAAAGGGAGAUGCUCUUAAGAAAAGAAGGAAAGAAGGAAGGGAGGCUGACUCCAUUAAAAUCUGAUGUCCACUGCACUAAUUUCCUUUUCUCCCCCCAUCCUGUUCCUAUCUUUGCCUCCCUCAUUUUACAUCUGAAUUUUCUGCUUUUCUUCUGCUUAUCACUGUCUUAGUUUGGCAGCCAAAAAUAGGCUUUAUGUAAUUGAGCUCAUGGGGUUUCAGUGUCCAGGGGUUUCUAAUCUCUUCUUUGAUGACUCUAAGAGAAUGCUUUCUGUGCAGAUGUUUGAACUACAACACAUUCACCUGAUUUUCAACACAAGGAUAAAAUAAUAUUGCAGUACUUGGUGCCUUUCAUAUUUUUCUGGACUGUAAAAUUGAAUACUCCUAAAUUUACUUACAGCACUGCUUGUAACAGUAAAAACUGCAUACAAACUAAAUGAUUAAGAAGAAAUUGACUAGACAUCAUGCCAUCUCUUUACAGCUAUAUCAUACAGUGACACAACUUCCCCCCCCCCUUCUUUAAUUAUCACUUGAUCCUUGGAGAAACUGAGAAGGAAUACAGGAUCCCUUUCUAGAAAAACGUGAACACAUUGUGCAUACAGUUUCUCAUAAACAUUUUGGGUACUUGCAAACCCAAUAAAAAUUUACUUCUAAAUCCAGGAGUUAUUCAUAACCUCUUUAAAUACUCUUGAUGUAAUGGAGUAAUGUAUAGGCCUAAUCAUUAUGAUGAGUAUACUUUAAUUUUUAUUUUAUUUUUUGGCUGUGCCUACGGCAUAUGGAUGUUCUUGGGCCAGGGAUCCAACUUGUGCCACAGCGGUGACUCCAGCCACUGCAGCGACAAUACCAGAUCCUUAACCCACUGUGCCGCAGGAGAACUCCAAGUAUAUUUUUAAUAAGAAAAGCUGUUCAAAAUUUUUGAUAUAAAGAAAAAUUGGGAGUUCCUGUCGUGGCUCAGUGGUUAACGAAUCCCACUAGGAACCAUGAGGUUGCAGGUUUGAUCCCUGGUUUCGCUCAGUGGGUUAAGGAUUUGGUGUCGCCAUGAGCUAUGGUGUAGGUCAUAGACACAGCACGGAUCUGGCGUUGCUGUGGCUCUGGCAUAGGCCGGCAGCUACAGCUCCAAUUAGACCCCUAGCUUGGGAACCUCCAUAUGCUGUGGAUGCGGCCCUAGGAAAGACAAAAAAAAAAAAAAAAAAAAAAAAGGAAAAAAGAAAAAUUGGUUACAAAAGAAGAGAACUCUGUGUGUGUGUGUGUGUGUGUGUGUGUGUGUGUAGUAACAUUAGUAAUAAGUUCGGACAGCUGCCCAAGAAAAUACUAAAUGCAUUUCUCUCUGUUGGAUCAAUUAUAGAUAAUUUAUUAUAGUUGAUUUACAAUGCUGUGCCAAUUUCUGUUGUAUAGCAAAAUGACUCAACCAUAUAUAUAUAUAUUCUUUUUUAAAAUAUUAUUUUAUAUCAUGGUCUAUCCCAGGAGAUUGAAUAUAGUUAAUUUAGAUAUAGAUAAUUUUUUUUUCUUUUUUUGUAGUCUUUUCCAAGUUUUUUAAAAUGAAUAUAUAUUAUUUGUGAAAUUUUUAAAAGAGGGCUAUGAUAAAGGGAAUAAAUGCUUUAGUCACUUAAGACUCAGCUUUUUUACACUGUCUGAUUUUCAUGGCUUUUCGAUUAGUGGUAGAAAUAGUUGGGAAGAGUGGAUAAAAGAACAUCCUAUGUCAAGUACUAAAGAGAAUCCUAAGAGUUAAAUCUAUAAUUCAUUUUUUUUUUUUGGAAACUUUGACCUUAUUUAUUACUGACUGAAAUGGCAAAUUACUGACUGAAAUGGCAAAUUACAAAAUUAAAAAAAAAAAUAACCAUUUCCCCCUUGCUUUCAAAAGCCGUAUGUAUAUGUUGUUACGAAACAUUACAAAAAUGUGUGAUUAUGAAAGUGAAAUUUCUUUAUAAUUCCUCUUUGAGUUCUAAUAAUAGCUGUUAAUCAUUUAAUCUGUAUACAUCAUCACACACACAGACAUGCAAAGGUGGUUUCUUAAAUGAAAUUAGAAUUGACAUAUAUUAUUUGUGAUGUGGUUUUUCUCAAGUAAAUUUUAUUUUGGACACUUUCUGUGUUUGCUCAUAGAGCUCAUUCCCAUUGUUUUUAAUACUUGCAGAGAAUUCAACUGUAAGAAUGCAUCAUAAUUUAUGUAUAGCCCCUAUGCCGUGGACUCAGUUUUUCAAAAUAAUGAAGAACAUUGCAAUGAAAAUUCUUGUACAUACAUCUUUUAUCUAAAGCCUCAAAAUAGGCAAAAAUAAACUAUAUUGCUUAGGGUGGCACAUUUAGGUGUUAAAAAACAGAAGAAAAGAAGAAAUGAUUACCAUAAUAAAUGGUUACUUCGAAGUUCCCACUGUGGCACAAUGGGAUCAGCAGUGUCUUCGGAGCACUGGGAAGCAGGUUCAAUCCCUGGCCCUGAGCAGUGGAUUAAGGAUCUGGUGUUGCUGCAGUUGCAGCUUAGGCCAUGACUGUGACUCAGAUCUGAUCUCUGGCAGAUC
Molecule: long non-coding RNA, 6306 nt
Filed under: Sus scrofa (pig)
Lineage: Eukaryota; Metazoa; Chordata; Mammalia; Artiodactyla; Suidae
Description: lncRNA (ENSSSCG00025006679.1)
Source: RNAcentral